UACGGGGGGGGCAAGCGUUGUUCGGAAUUAUUGGGCGUAAAGAGCUCGUAGGCGGUCUGUCGCGUCGGAUGUGAAAACCCAGGGCUCAACCCUGGGCCUGCAUUCGAUACGGGCAGACUAGAGUUCGGUAGGGGAGACUGGAAUUCCUGGUGUAGCGGUGAAAUGCGCAGAUAUCAGGAGGAACACCGGUGGCGAAGGCGGGUCUCUGGGCCGAAACUGACGCUGAGGAGCGAAAGCGUGGGGAGCAAACAGG
Molecule: ribosomal RNA, 253 nt
Filed under: uncultured bacterium
Lineage: Bacteria
Description: partial 16S ribosomal RNA
Rfam family: Bacterial small subunit ribosomal RNA
Source: RNAcentral